Long non-coding RNA from Mandrillus leucophaeus (drill), 884 nucleotides. RefSeq lists it as uncharacterized. The record is from RefSeq and is a predicted model, not a curated record. Lineage: Eukaryota; Metazoa; Chordata; Mammalia; Primates; Cercopithecidae. The transcript is spliced from 2 exons.
UUCUAGUGAAGGAAAGCUGUGUGACACCUGGCAUUCCUCUAUGUUCAUGGAGCUUUUUUGAGGCUGGAAUAUUGAUUCUACCAUCUAGACCUCUCUGGCUAAUACCUUUUCUUCAACCACAUAGGUUACUCUCACAUAGGAAUUUACUUCUUUUCCUUGAAUGGAAAACACUUAAAAAAUAACAACCAUUAUUAUAAACCAAUAUAUGUGAGAGUACUUAGUUGAAACAAAAAGAAGUUUUAGUAGACAGUAUUCUACUACAUUUGAAAAUCAAGGAGAUGUUUAUGCAACUUAAAAUGUGUACAAACUGCAGUGCAAUCUACUGUUUGUGAAUGUCAGAGUAUUUUGAGGAAAAGUGUCUAUACAAUUACAGAGUUAUAUUUCCUCACAAAGUUCUUUAUGAAGAGUGAAAUAUGUUCUUAUACCUCUCAGUUUCAGUUAGAGGCAUAUUUUGUGUCAUACUUAUGGUUUAAAAUAGACUUGAGGUCCUGUUCUUACCUUCUAUUUUGUGAACUUGCCGCUUUUGCAUUAUUUGAGUUCACUUGAAAGACAGUUACUUUAAGUCCAUUUUAAACCCUCGGGCUAGAAAUCGUACCACUGUUAAUUAGCCACAUUAUUUGGUCUAACAGUUUUUCUUUAUCAUUCUGAAACUGGGUUUACCUAAUACAUUGAUAAAUUAUUUUGAAGGAAUUUUUAUAGUUCCAGUCACUUCACUUUUACCCUGACACAUAUAAAUGACUAGGAAUGACCUUCAGAUCGCAUUUAGCAUCUGUAACCAAUCUGACAAUAAUGUGUUCAUCAGGGAGCUAUGGAUUAAAUCACAUACUGGCAUAUUUAAGCUGAAUAUCAGCCUGGAAAAUAAAUGUACUAUAUUAACUGAAAUA